UGUACUCUAUCUAAAAAAAAAGAGGAAAAAUCCUCUGAACGAGGGCCUGGGGUGAGUUCUCGGAGUGCCAUCGUGCCUCCGUCCAAUGGGCUCCACGCGCUCACGCGCCACUGUCAAUGCCGUCACAUACGGCGGCCGGAAGCCAAAAAACCUCAUCGUUUACCCCGCAUUAAAAGGUGAGCGCGAGGAUCUCGGUGGCGAGACAAGAUUGAGGCGUGGCGUGCUGAUGAUGGCGACGAUCUCGGCGUUGUUUGCGCGCCGAUGGUGGCGCGACAUCCAGUAGCUGAGGUCAAGGAGAAAGUCGUGGCACUGGUAGAGCCUUGACAUGAGGCCAACAGACGCUCCCCGAAAGUUCUAGAGUUUUGUGAAACGAAAGGGCGCUUAUUGGACAUGACGUUUGAGGCGUCUGAAGCUUCCAAAAUCCUUUGCGGCUUGAGGAGAAAGAGAGCUAGGGUUUCUAACCCUAUCUGAAAGUCAUUUGGGCCCCUAUUGUUUGGGCCUUCGAGUUUAUUGGUAUUAGGUGGGUCUGUUUGGGUCUGCUGUAAUGGGUCUGGUUUAGGUUUGGGCUACGGGUGCAUUUGGGUACACGGUUAGUGGGAUUUGGUUUUGAAGGUUUUAAAUAUUGGGCCUACGGGUUAAUUUUUUUGGGCUCUGUAUAUGGACUUUUAAAUGGACAUUUUAAAUAAAUAAAUAUUUAUUUAUUUAA
Long non-coding RNA from Gossypium arboreum, 706 nucleotides. RefSeq lists it as uncharacterized. The record is from RefSeq and is a predicted model, not a curated record. The transcript has 2 exons. Lineage: Eukaryota; Viridiplantae; Streptophyta; Magnoliopsida; Malvales; Malvaceae.